This 1314-nucleotide long non-coding RNA is filed under the name Heterocephalus glaber (naked mole-rat). RNAcentral describes it as "lncRNA (ENSHGLG00100036008.1)". The record is from RNAcentral. Lineage: Eukaryota; Metazoa; Chordata; Mammalia; Rodentia; Bathyergidae.
UACAUUUUUGGUUUUUUCCAAAUGUAUUAUAAUGAGUACUUAGUCCCUAAACACUUUCUGUGGUUAGAACAGAAGCAUAUAAUGUGGAAAGCUCCCUCCUGGGUGAGGUAGACACUGGCAACCUGCACGUGUCCUUUUGGCAGUUCUGGGUCUCUUUGUUCCCUCCAGUGUGGAGCCCAUGGUCCUGAGGCAAAUGAGCUGAGGACCCUAGCUGGGCCUAAAAGGCACACAGACAGGCACAGCAAUCUCUGAGAGUUCUCUUUGAAGGACACCCUCAUUUCCCUGCUUAUGGCCCAUAUCUAACUUGCAUGGCCAUGGCCCUUACUCCAAAAAAAAUGACCUUAACUGAGAAAGCGGGGGGCCAAAGCAUUCUGUCAAUGGCCUGUGCAGGUAAUGGGCUGGCAUGGUGCUGGCACCAGAACAGGCACAGCAGGGCAUCAGGAUGGCCACCAAAGCUCAUUAGCAAUUUUCAUUAAUUCCUUGGGCCUAUUUAUACCUCGAGAUUUGUAACCUGGUUUCCUGGCAGAGAACAGAUCAGAGUUGGACCAGAAAAGUACAAGAGGCAGGGAUACCCUAAUUGAAGCUGCCCAACAGCUCUACACAGAGCAGAAUCCAAAGCCUGCACCUGGAAGCAGUUACACUGGAGGCUGCAAAGCUGGCCACAGAUCACAACCUCCUUAGAAGCUACUCUAGUUGCCAAGUGCACCUGACAACAUCCCCUCUACUGAGCUCCCAAUCAUCACAGUACAUCCCUCCUCUGCUGAAAAGCCUCAAAGUGCCCCAUCGGCUCAGAAUUGAGCCAGUCAUCCAAGGUCCCUCAGGCCUGGAGCUCUAUACCCUUCCCAACUUUAUCUCCUUCUACAACAUUCAACAAGCACGGUCUCCCUCCACUGGCAGCCUGUGUCCCAGCUGUUCACUCUGCAGACUGCAUUAUGAUCCUUGCCUCCUUCAGGUCUUUGCUCAGAUACCACAUCCUCAAGAAAGCCCUCACUAAAGCCACACCAUGUCCCACUUACAGUGGUGGACCCCCCGCCACAACCCCACAUCUCAGCACCUAACCCUGCUCUAUUUACUGUGUCACCAUCCUCUAGCAAGCUGUAACUUAUUAUGGAUUUUGCAAUGUUUCCCUCUUGCCACCCUACUCAAUUGUCAGCUCCACAAGGGCAGGGAUUUAAAACAGAAGAAUGAAAAUAUCCACACCUAUAAUAGGAAACAGUGAGAUAGGUCUUUUGCAAAUGGGGCCAGGGAUUUAGCUCAGUGGUUUCACCGCCUGCUGCAAAUGGGAAGAGGACCAAGACAUGGAUGGAGGGGGAG